Molecule: non-coding RNA, 24 nt
Filed under: Arabidopsis thaliana (thale cress)
Lineage: Eukaryota; Viridiplantae; Streptophyta; Magnoliopsida; Brassicales; Brassicaceae
Source: RNAcentral
AGCCACUUACUUGUACUGGUCCGU